ACCCAAAACUAAGCCCGCUCU
This 21-nucleotide microRNA is filed under the name Xenopus tropicalis (tropical clawed frog). RNAcentral's name for it is "Xtr-Mir-430-o5n1_5p* (star (passenger))". Lineage: Eukaryota; Metazoa; Chordata; Amphibia; Anura; Pipidae. The record is from RNAcentral.